Molecule: ribosomal RNA, 497 nt
Filed under: uncultured bacterium
Lineage: Bacteria
Description: partial 16S ribosomal RNA
Rfam family: Bacterial small subunit ribosomal RNA
Source: RNAcentral
GACGAACGCUGGCGGCGUGCCUAAUACAUGCAAGUUGAGCGCUGAAGGUUGGUACUUGUACCGACUGGAUGAGCAGCGAACGGGUGAGUAACGCGUGGGGAAUCUGCCUUUGAGCGGGGGACAACAUUUGGAAACGAAUGCUAAUACCGCAUAAAAACUUUAAACACAAGUUUUACGUUUGAAAGAUGCAAUUGCAUCACUCAAAGAUGAUCCCGCGUUGUAUUAGCUAGUUGGUGAGGUAAAGGCUCACCAAGGCGAUGAUACAUAGCCGACCUGAGAGGGUGAUCGGCCACAUUGGGACUGGGACACGGCCCAAACUCCUACGGGAGGCAGCAGUAGGGAAUCUUCGGCAAUGGACGAAAGGCUGACCGAGCAACGCCGCGUGAGUGAAGAAGGUUUUCGGAUCGUAAAACUCUGUUGGUAGAGAAGAACGUUGGUGAGAGUGGAAAGCUCAUCAAGUGACGGUAACUACCCAGAAAGGGACGGCUAACUACGUG